CAAAAACCUUUCAAUUGCUAAUAUCACUCAGUAAAUGCUCGCAUUUUUGUUCCUAAAGAUAAGACUGUGGUUAGAUGAGCUAUUUUGAACACUUAAUUAUGUGUAAAUACUCAUUUCUCCUUAUGUUUGCAUUUUUUAGUGCCAUUUUGAUACAGUGGGGUAAGGGGAAUAUUUAGAAGUUGACUGGAUUGGUUCCGUAUCUUCACAUUUUAAUUAAUUUUAUUUGAUUAAUAUCUUUCUAUUGGUCAACAGUUUCAGUUAGCUUCAAUCUCUUCUAGACUUUUGUGGUAUGAAAGGGUGUAUUGUGCUUCUGGUUUUAAUAAUUCUAUAUACAAGCCCUUAGACUCUCAAAAGACUUUUGCACACACUUAAUUUGACACUGUGAGUGAAUUUGUAAUUCCUUUAAAAUCAGUGGCAGAUUUUCCAUUUUCACCUGCAUUUCAUUACCUUCAUACUCUCAUUUAAAAUAGAUAUAUACACACAAAGAUGAAAUUAAAAGAGAGGACUAUUCCUGAGGAUUGAAAGGUGAAAAUACUUAUAACAGAAAGCCACUGAAAAUAGCUGUGAACAAAAAUACGGCAAGGCUUAAGAUGAGUAAGGCCGACAUUAAAUGUAAUUUAAUAUAUGAAAUCUGAGCUUAAAAAAAAAAAUGUAAAAUUCCCCCCCAAACAACCACCAAGAAUAUCACACUACUAAGUAUUUAAAUCAAAAAUAUGGAAUUUUAAAUUAUUGAAAACAAUUAGAUAAUGCUUAAACAUAAGUGAAAAGCUUAAGCAGUCUACAAUUAGAAGUAGCAUGGUGACCCUCAUCCUAAUAGCUAUUACUGUCCUAUUUCCAUGUCCUGUUCCCUCUCCUUUGUUUUUCAUUGGUAUAGAUUAAGCUCUUUCGGUGGACGGCUGCUCUUCCUACAUCAACGUGUAACCCUUGUCUGUAUUUAUUGCUCAAAUCCUACUGGUGUAUCUGACCUUUAGUAUUCCAGCCCUGGCACUGUAAGCGUCCAUGCUGCGUGGUUCCAGCAGGCUGAUUUCAGUGGGAUCCUUUGUCAAGAGAACAGCCAUGAGAGUAUUGCAAAAUUCGAAAGAUCAUAGCAAGCUAUUUCAAAGGUCAUAAAGCAAUGGAAGGCAAAAAGCAGCGAUUCAUCCAAUUAAAUCCAUCUCAGGCCAGGAAAGCAAAACCAAGUGAAUAUUUUGUAAGGCCUUAUCACUGCCUCACUCUCAGGAAGGAAAACGAAUUCUGAAGAGAUGAUGCCACAAUUGUUAUUGCGUUCCAGAAGUGCAUAAAAUGUGGGUAGCCAGAGCCUCUUAAGUAACAAAGCAAGUGAAAAAAGGUUGUAAAUAGGACUCUGGGUUGUAAAUACAAACAUGUUCUUCCAAUGACAUUAUAGAUCAGACCAGCAAGGUUUUAAUGCUGACUUCUGCUUCAGCAGUUCUUACCUGGGUCAGUAAAGACAUUCAGGUCCCCCAAACUUUAUUUAUUUUUCUUCCCUUUCAUGUAUAAAAUCUACCAUUAAACACUGUCAGAUGAUAGUCCUCAUCAUAUAAAUCUCUACAGUGACUUUAGAAUCAGUCACUUGCAUUUCCCAAAUGCUGCAAGCACCUCAUAACAUCCUCGCAGCAGAAAACACAAGGAGUAUCAGCCAACAGAUGCACCCUAAUGACAAAAGCCCAGCAAUUCAACAACUCAGAACAAAAAGAAACAUCUGCUUGGAAAGGGAGCUGUUCUCAAUUACUUCAGGGAACUGAAGUAAAUGAAGACCUACAAAAAAGUAUUAUUUUUCAAAUAAAAUUAAUCAAAUAAAACAUGUAGAGCUAUCAGAAAAACUGCAAAUGUCUUCCCCAAACCCACUGUUGGUAGUUUGUUCCAUGAACUGGACUCAGUCAAUCAGACACAGCCCCACGGACAAAUCAGCCAACGCUAAUAAUAACCUCCACAGAGGUCAACAAUUCAACUCGGUACUAAACUCUACUCUCCCGAUACGAAAAACAGCAUAAAAAAAGAGCUAUUUCCUCCCUUUCUUUUCUUUGCAAGUCUCUGCAUUUUGGAAACUUGAAGCAGCACAAGGAUAAACAAAGGGUUAUACUUUAUGGGAAGGAAAAGCAAAUUGUUUUUCUGCUUUCCAAAAAAACAGCUGGAGUCAGCAGAACAUCAUCUACUAGGCAAAUGAAAAGACAGACACAGCGUGACCUAUCAAGCUCGGCCAUCCAAUCGUUACCAGCCUAACUCUCUUAAAGAUUAACUUCUAUUUCUACUAAACUUCAAAACAACUGAGGAAAAAUCCAUUCUAAGCAACAACAGCAGCAAUUUUAGCAUGUUUACAAUAGGAACGAACAUAAUGAGAAUGCAGAACUAACUGUCAAGAAGACCAAAGUUUCCAAGUUUUAAUGACAGUAUGGAGAGGUCAUCCAAGAAAAGAUCACUCGGCGAAAGUCCUUCCAAAAGUACAGCAAAUCAAGCAAGUACGAAAAAACAUCUGACCUUAGAAUAAGCUUUACUGGGGCUAUCAUCCAGAAAAAUAUAGGUGAAAACCUACUGGAAACUAUUUACAAUGUUUUUAAGUACCCAGUUACUCUCUCCCUCUGUGCUUUAUAAUGACACACAGAGGCAAUGCACUACUUCAAAGCUGUGAAAAGGCAAAAGAAGAAAAAUACUCUUUUGAAAGUCGGAAUUGGAGUGCAAGCUUUUCUGCUAACUUGAUUAAGUUCCUACGCCCAAGGACUCCAACCGGUGCUGGCCUAAUCAACUCUGAUGAAUACGAAACGGGCUUCAGGCUCCCUCCGCGCAGGGACUUGUCUAACAGUGGAGGACUUCACGGACAGCACCCUGGGAACUCAUAUUCUGUGCCUUGGUUUUCCAAGGUGCAGGUUUUUCCUCCACCAAAAUGUUACUGUAGGUAAAUUCUUCAGGAUUACAAUUUCUUAGUUUCUCCCCAACUUUUUUUUUUUUAAAUAACUGAGUUAUAAAAUUCUACUCUGAAAUAAGCACGUACUUUGUGACUAUUUGGAUUCAAAGACGGUUUUAGCUUUCUUGCUGCUGUGCUGACUAUAUGUUUGGUUUUGCUGAGAAUACAGGCAUCUUAAGACGUUAAAAUUCUCAGAAGAGCUAUACAAAUGUUUGCUCAAUGAGUGAGCAAAGAGAAGGCAUGUUUAUUUUACAUUAUUUUUCAAUACUUCUAUGAAAAUCUCUACCACCCUUUAGAGAUUCAUAUCCAUAUGCCCAUAAUAAACAAAAUCACCUCCUCUACUCAUUCUGAAAACUCACAGAAAUGCGCACUGCUCUGACUCUGGAUCUUUCCAUUGAUCUAUGCUCCUACAGAAAACCAAGGCUCCAGUCCUCCUCUUAAAUUGUUUUUAAAAAGCUCAUCCUCUAGCUUCAAUAAGGGCAGUGUGAAUACACAGACGGCAGCCAAGAAGAGAAAAGCAACACAUUCCUCUCCUCCCACUUAGCUUUUAAACAAACAGCGCAUUGGGAAAACACUGCUAGGAGGAACAGGGCCAUUAAAAGUCAUGUCAGCUAUAACAGAGAUUAAGCCAAUAAAUCACAAAACAUGCCACUAUGAAAACUUGGACCAUUUGUACUGGAGCAGCUCUUUGUCAAGCUCCACAGCUUUUUUGUGAGAAAAAAAGCUUAAAAAGACAAAAAUAUAUAUAUAUACACACACACACAUAUAUAUAUCUGAGUCUAUAUAUAUACACUCAAAAGCCCAGUAUGGGAUGGAGAGUUGGGGGCUAAACAUUGCAGGGAUUCCCAAUAUGCAUAAAAACUUGGCAGCUUGGUACUUCACAUCCAAGCACACAACCUUUGGAAUCCCAGAGGCAAUUAAAAGCCUAUAGACAUCCAAGCUUUCAACAGCUCCGUUCUUCAGGAGGACCAGAGCCGUGCAUCUCUGCUACCCAUGAUACUGCUGCAAGUCCAAUCGGUGACUUCAGAUGUCUUCCGUAAAUGAGCCCUUCUCAGUCACGGAGUAUGGAUGAUGUAUGUGCUCUGAGGGACUCUGCAUAUAUGCCAAAUAUAAUACAUACCAACAUGACCUAUUUAAAAACAACAUGCAGUGGAGGUGGAGGACCAGUACUUUAAUAACAGUCUUCCCCCAGAAGUGAGCAUUAUCAUAGUUACGGCUGUAAUUUUCCUUCUUCAGAAGCACCCUACACAGCCGGGAUGGCCCCAUUAAUGAAGAGCUAAAGACUAUCUUAUCAUGGCAAAGUAUUUAGAAUGCAACGUUCCUCUCUAGAAAAAUCUGAUGCUCACAGUCAGAACUUGUCUGAGCUAAGUCUGAGCUUAUUUUCAGUUUACAAAGCGAUGUACUCACAACUGAACAUGGCUCCUCACCCAGAGCACAGCUAUAUCCCCUUCUCAGACCUCGCUAGAACGCGUUGUCAAAUGACAUGCGGUGAACUGUUGCAAAUUAAUGUGUGAAUGAAUAAAGCUAAAAGGGAAUGAAAAAGCCAAAUCAGAAGCAUCCAGAACACUUUUUCUUCAAAUAUAUCCCAACAUGCUUAUCUUAAGACACUACCAGUUGUUUUUUAAUUUCACAGUAUAUUGUAAGAACUCAUUUGCUACCCUUAUCUUUAUAGUCCAGAAAAAGAAAAAAAAAAUCUGUUUGCGGUACUUGCCAGGUUUUCAUCCCCUCUGUUUUGACUUUGUUUUUACUUUUUUAAUGAAAACCAUUUCAGUAAGUUGCUCUUUUCUGUCUCUUUUAUUUUCCCUGUCAGUUUAAUAGGAAAACUUCCUUUUUCCAUAAUUCUCACUGCAUUCUUUUCCCCAAUUCUCUCUGAUUUUCUCUGCAUUGAUACAUACUCAUCCUUUUCUGGUAUCAGUUAUAUGAUUUAUCCUCAUCAUUACUGUAGCUGUCUUUUUUAAUGGCUACUCCACACCUGGUAUCUGUGAGGAACGCACACUAGUGUCGUCCAGUUUUAUUUCAAGCUACUCCUCUGUGUUUUAUACAAUACGUGGGUACAGGCGGCAGAAUUACAAAAUCUUCUUAGGAUUCUGUCUCUAAUCCCAAACCAUGGAAGACAUUACAUCUCGUUCGAAUAUGAGGAAUACGAGGCUGGGAUAGGAUACAGUCAGCAAACGCAAGGAACGCUGGUCAGGGCAGAGAUCUCCAAGGCUAACCUACAUCCUAAGGCAAAACUAGUAACGUACUUGGCUUCUCUUCACUGAUCAAGAAAACACGGUGAAACAGGAGCUCGCUUCCCACCUGCCUUAAGGACUUUCGAUCUAAACUGAAGAGUCUCCCUCCACAGACACAGGAAUCCUAUCAAUUAUUAUACCAUGUGGGAUGGCCAGGAUAAAUGCCACUCACCGAUCACAGCUGAGAACGGAAACGUACAAACAGAACUGCCUGAAGAAUGUAACUCUUCAGGCAUUAAACCUUUUCAUAAGACAGCCAGUGUUUUUACUUCAAAGCGAAGAGAUCAAACUGCUCCCUGUGUGCCGAUCAGGGAAAAGGAAUUCUAACAAAGCUAACAAAAACGUACAAAAAAAGCCUAGAUGAUUUCCAGAUCAGACCUGUGACAAACUGAAACCACCAUAUUAUUUCUUGCAUGUGAAUGUCAGUAAAAAAAAGACAACCAAAUCCAAACUGCAGAUUGGAGUAUCAAACGCCGUUUGGUUUGGGGGUUUUUUAUUUAUUUUGAGAGGUGCAGGUGGGGUGCAUGUAACAUAUAGUGAAUAAUUUUUGGCUUGUGGUUAGGCAAGUCUUUUGAGACUUUAUACACAAUAAAGUACUCUGACUAAAAUCUGGAAAAUUACCUCUUAAGGCUCUAGCUGUACAGCAUCAAUAGAAAUGUGGUGCCAGCUAAUGGCUGCAAUAACUGUCUUCAUCCCCAGAGAAUAAUGGAUGGAAAAUAUAUCAAUAUGAGGAGUGGAAGGGCCAGAGAAACAGAGCAGGCGCUAGUUAUCGGACACAAAGAUGAUGCCACAUGCAUGAUGUUAUCUGUGAUAAUCUUUACUUAGGGCCCAGGGGGUGGAAGGGUAUUCUUUACAGAGAAGAAAGUAUCCAUCAGGCCAUAUUCAUAAUCAUCAAUGUUCCACUAAGUAAGCAUUUUUGGAGAAGGGUUGAGGGAGCACUGAUGUAAUAGAAAUCAAUUAAAUUCAGCUUUUCUGCAUCUACUGUUUAGAGCAAAGUAAGGAAAAAAAGCAUGUGCAUCACUUUCGCCUCUGAUCGUUCAGUCAUAUGCAGUAUUCAGAAAAUGGCUCUGUAGGAAAUCUUAAGUGAACCACAAUAAAACUCAUAACUAUUUAAAAAUCUAUUUAAAAUCCACACCUUGACAUUCACAACUACCGAAGGAAAUAAACUGUUAUUAUAAGCAUCAAAUGUAUGUUUCCAGUUUGGCCACGUGAGCACUUAAAAUAGCGCAGGAUGCGAAAUUACUGUUUGGCUUUAUCUUCCCCUUGAUGCAAGGCCUUCCUUAACGAAAUGGAGUUGGCUCCCAGCGUAAGCACAGCAGAGAACGGAGCGCUGUAUGAAAGUUACUGCCACGAGCUCUUUGCAGACGGAUGCUAUGCCUUUCCUUGGCAGACAUUUGAAAACAAGAAUACCUCACAGGGUAGAUUAUAGGAUACCCUGGUAAUUUUGCCACAAUAUCUACAGUACGUUCUCCUUCAAGUUUAAGCACCUGUCUUAAAUUCACACACGAUGACUAUGUGUGCGAGCACCUGUACAAUCAGUUUUUGGUACAAAAGGCACAAGUGAAAUGUGCUGGCUCUCUGCCAUUCAAGUCAAAUCAGCACAUUUCCAUCA
Non-coding RNA from Phalacrocorax carbo (great cormorant), 6742 nucleotides. Lineage: Eukaryota; Metazoa; Chordata; Aves; Suliformes; Phalacrocoracidae. The record is from RefSeq and is a predicted model, not a curated record.